UUUUUUUUUUUUUUUUGCUUUUUAGGGCUGCACUUGCAGCAUAUGGAAGUUCCCAGGGUAGGGGUCACAUCGGAGCUACAGCUGCCAGCCACAGCAACGCACGAUCCGAGCCGAGUCUGCAACCUACACCACAGCUCACGGCAACCCCAGAUCCUUAACCCACUGAGCGAGGCCAGGGAUCGAACCCACAACCUCAUGGUUCCUAGUCGGAUUCGUUUCCACUGUGACAUGAUGGGAACUCCAGUAUCUUUCUUAAAGGGAGCCACACCAUAACAUAAAUGUUGGCCUCCAAGAGUGACCUGACAGGGGAGGGCUCCUUUCUUUGGAAUAGGUGUCACUGUCCCCAGAUGACAGCCUUUGAGCAGGUCCACUCCCAGAGCUGCACCCUAGUCAAGGCUUACAUUUGGAAAAAAAAUCGUAAAUGUUUUCCUAAACAGUGGAAAAGAGGACAGAGUUUCCAUUUUCAACUUUGUUCCCUUUAAUCAAAGCUGCAAACACGAGUCACGAUUUGUGGGGAGAAAUCUCAUUUGUGUCUUUGGGCCCUGGCUUUGGGAUUCAGAAUUUAGGUUCUUAAGAUUUAUGACUGACUGAUGCUAUGAAAUCAGUUGUUUCUGCCUGCAAAUCAUGAAAUCAGUACCGACUUGGCCAUAAAAAAUGAAGGUUUUAUGGUAAGUGGUUUAAGAAAAAUGCAGAAUAUGAGUCCUUUGCGAUGUAUAUGUUUUAUAGCAGCAAUUCCCUAUUUUUAAUUUUUUUGAAAAAAAAUUCUCCAUUGCUGUGGAAGGAAAACAUCUUGAAGUAACUUCAAUGAAAACAGCUAUGUAUAUAGAAUAACAUGUAAUGGUUCUGUCAGACUUAUUCUCCCACUAACUGAGGCAUAAAUCUAGGAUGAUGAUUUUUUUCCCCUGCAGAAUUAGAUUUUAUUAAAAUAGUUACUUUGUAUCCCAUCCAGCCAUGAGUCAAAGCAAUGGGAUCCUACAUAAAUGAAAUUUGUUGAUCCUAGUGCAAGUUUGGACAAAAUCAAUUUCAAUUUCCUUUGAAUAUACUCUUAAUGUUUAUCUGAUGGCGGAUUCCUGUUGUUUUUAAAUAAUAGCUAUAACAGAAACAAACAACGCUAAUUAGAUUCUAAGACUCAUCCUUGAUCUCAAUUCAGGAAAUGUGUCAUUAACCUUUUCCUGUAUAAUUAAUUUUUUCUAUCAUGCUUUUUAAUUGAUCAUUCCCAAUAUAAGUCCUUCGAAAAGUUGAAUAAUUUUUUAUCAGGUAAGUGUUGAGAUAUUCCACCUUUAUGAUGGCUUUCAGUGGCUUCAGCUAAUGGGACUGUGUAUUUCGUGGAAAAUGCCUAGAUUGCAGGGUUUAAGCCAAACAGCUCCUUGGGGUAAUUAUAGUUGUUCUUUCUUGAUGGGUCUGUGAUUUUACCCUAGGUCCAAUUAGAAGAGUAAAAAUCUGUGACUUAGUGACAAAGAGAUAAGGACAUGGUUAGAAUAGAACUCCCUUGAGGAGGCCAUACCCUAUGAUGGGUGGAUCCUGAGAUUAUUUCCUGGAGGUUCAAAGUCACACAGCAGCCCUGAAGCUUGGGGUGCUAAUUGUUCAGAUGUAUUUGUUAGUGUCCGGCAGUGCAUUGGUGCAGUGCAUAGGUGCCUUGCAGUGUCACUGACAAUUUACGGCCCUCUGCUUAUAAUUUUGUAUAGCCUGCCAGACCCACUCCCUGGGGGAUACUGUUACAUAGGCUCUGAUUAGACUGGUCCUCCUGGAAUGAAGCAGUGUGUCCCCUGCCCAGCUGUAUCUCUCUCCACCCUGCUUUCUCCCUUGGACUUGAAUUUGGAGGCUGAAUAGCUAGGAAAGGCUUGACAAGUGGUCCUGAGUGACUGAAUUCCCCCAAGACGCUUCAUGACACUGGUGACCAAAGUGACCCAACACUCAGAUGAGGGACUGAAAUAUUUGAUAUAAGCAUGGCUCCUUCUUUCUACAUCCUACCUCAUUCCCCUCCUCUAGAUGUCUCACUUCCCGAAUCAUCUCCAGGUUGAAGUACAUCUGUCCCCUUGCUCUGCCCUAAGCACCAUUCCACUUCACCUUUAUUUCAUUUUAAAUAUCUACCCCAAAAACUUUCUGCUAAUAGAAGUGUGUGUGUGUGUGUGUGUGUGUGUGUGUGUGUGUGUGUGUGUGUGUGUUUUCGUGAAGGCUAAACUUGGGUUAAGAACAGCUUCAGGAGAUGUCAUAUAACAACCUUUCACAGGGGUACCUGGGCACAGAUCUUGUCAGAGGUCACUCCCUUUUGAGGAUUACAUGGGACAUUUGAAGACAGGGGUCAUCCACCCCAUGCUCCUUUUCAUGAUCCCUGUAUUAUUCAUUAUUCCCUAGUCAGUAUAAGUUGGUUUAAUUUCACAACUUUGGAUGAGCUAUCAUAGGCUUGUGUUUUUAAGAAGGGACAUUUUAGGCACUAUUUAUCAAAAUAGUAAGUACUACUGCUUUUUGCAUCUUAUCAGGUCAGAUGCUGAAUGAUGCAUUUUUAAUAUAUCUUCUGACUUAUUUUUUUUUUCCAUUCAGGACUAUCAGAGGGAUACUAUCAUCUUCGUUUUAUUUUUUAAAUUUUUAAAUUAUAGUUGAUUUACAAUGUUCUGUCAAUUUCUGUACAGCAAAGUGACCCAGUUUUAUAUAUACAUAUAUAUAUAUAUAUUCUUUUUCUCACAUUAUCCUCCAUCAUGUUCCAUCAUGAGUGAUUAGAUAUAGUUCUCUGUGCUAUAGAGCAGGAUCUCAUUACUUAUCCACUCCAAACACCAUAGUUUGUAUCUACUAACCCCAAACUCCCAGUCCAUCUCACUCCCUCCCCCUCCCCCUUGACAACCACAAGUCUAUUCUCCAAGUCCAUGAGUUUGUUUCUUUGCUAUAGGUAAGUUCAUUUCUGCCAUAUAUUAGAUUCCAGAUAUAAGUGAUACCAUAUGGUAUUUAUCUUUUCUCUUUCUGACUUACUUCACUUAGUAUAAAAUGAAAAUACUAGAAGUUUCUCUAAGCUUGGUCUGCCUCCAGAGUUUAUGAGCUUUUGUCUCAUGUUGCAAAUUCCCCCUCCCCUGAAGUGACAAACCCAGGCAUUGACUCAUGCUUUUAGAUAAUUACCCUUCUUGGUAGAAGCACAGACAGGAGCUGAUUCUUGACUUUGCUGAUGGCUCUUUCUGCACACGGAUGUGAGCCCAAGUUCUGCCUUUGGUGCUGAUUAUCCACAGACGUUGCCUGGAUGCUCAUCUCCUAAAUGGGGCAGCCUCUCUUGCUUUCAGCUCUGCCAUAGUGGUUCUGCCUCACCGGACUGCAGAUGUGGACAGGAUUGAUUGAUGAAGAAAUAGAAUGAAGAUGACAUUUGUGUCUUGUCCAGGCAACCCGGGAAAAACUUGGGUGUUUGGCAAUUUACUGAUGUAUAAAGACAAAAAAUCCCAAAGAUAACAGCAUCUAUUCCAGGUAGGACCCCAGUGGAGAAGAACUGCCUGCUUUAUUAAAUCAUUAAAUAAUUGCAAUGCCUGGACACUGGGACCCUUGAAAAGCUUUGAGGAAGGGAAGCUUCCCAGGGAACUUUUUUUUCCAAAAUCCGCUCUUUGAUAUGUAAUUGGUACUUAAGCGGUUGGUGCACAGAACAUCAUGCAUUUGAGUUGCAGGUGGGCCAAGGUGCUUCUCUGUCCCUCGAGAUGAAAGGCCAGUAUUUCCAUGAAUGCACGAGGUCAGGACCAGUCUUUAGUAAGAUUGUGUCAUUUGUAGGGUUGGCCAUCAUGUACCCGGGUCUCGGUCCAGUGGGCCUGACCCCUCCCCUUGUCCUUUUCAUUUGUGUUUGAGGUGUUGUCUCAUUUUUAAUGUCACAAGAAACAGAUUCCCAAGCCUGUUAGGGAGGACUCAUGACAAGGGAUUGAGGGUCACUGUCAGAGUCAUUGUUCACUCACAUCAGUGACCAUGAGAAGAAAGGGACAUAUGAGCAAUAGAGGGGAGGUAAAGCUGGUCAUAGCAGCAGUGUUAAGGGCUAUAUUGCUGACAUUAUGUCACUGUUUAGUGUUUCUGUACUGCUUGGUCACUUGUGUUUGGGUUAGUCCUGAAUAUAGUACUUUAUCCUUCCUCCUGUUCUUUCUCAUUAUGCAACAGCGAAUUCAGGCUCCUAAAUUUCAUUAGGUCAUUUGUACCUUGUGUGCCCAUUUUAAAUGCAGACUGGUCCAGCCCUGUUUUCUGAGAGUAGAUGUGCAUUAGUUAUUCUAUGCUAAAGGAAUUCUGCACAUGUAAUUGAUGGGAAAGGAUUAUUUUUUUUAUUCUUAUUUAUUAUUAUUAUUAUUAUUUUUUUUUUUUGUCUUUUUAGGGCUGCAUCUGCAGCAUAUGUAGGUUCCCAGGCCAGGGGCCCAAUCAUAGCUACAGCUUCUGGCCUACGCCACAGCGACAGCAACAAGGGAUCUGAGCCACAUCUGUGAGCUACACCACACUCAUAGCAAUGCCGGAUCCCUAUCCCACUGAUUGAAGCCAGGGAUCAAACCCGCAACCUCAUGGUUCCUAGUCAGAUUCGUUUCCGCUGCACCACGACGGGAACUUCAGGGGAAAGGAUUAUUUAAAAAAAAAAGAAAAAACAGCUCCCUCCUUUCUUAAACAAAUGGAUUUUUCUGUAUCUCAGUUAUAAGAGGAAUCAGAUGGAUGAGGAUAUGCAAUGGGCAUAGUGAAUGUUUUCUCAUCCAUUUUCAUACCCUCAUGCCCCUGGAUGAUCUAGGAAUCCAGGUUUAAGCCCAUCGGUUGGUGGCGUUCAUCAAUUUCUGAUCAUGAGGAGCAAUUAAUGAAUGAAUUCUAAUUUGGAAAAGCAGAGAAGGGAGUUUUCUGGGGCUACAAUUAAAUUGUACUCUCACAGGAGAGAGUCACAAGAAAAGACUUUUUCUCUUUUCCUGGACGUGGUUGUGGUUACCAGGCUUGGAAUCACUGUAGAGGCUAUUUUGAUAUUUGUCUGGAGACAAAGCUCACAUGUGGAGACAGCAGAGAAUUUCUGGGACACGGAACUGGAGCCCCCUAGAUAGAGUUGGUUCCCAAAGCCUGACUCAACCUUUGUACAUCCAACUCUAUGAGCCAAUAAAAAUUCUUAUUUUUUCUGCCAAGUUGAAUUGGACUUUUUCUUACUUUCAACCAACUUCUCUGCUAACACAGUGUAGAAGCAGGCAUAGAAUCAGCAUGGCUGUGGUGUUGGCAUCUAUUCUGAGCGUCUAGCUGGUCCCCAGUGAUGCGGUAGUGUGACCUCUGUGACCUUCUGCAAUGGGGAAGCAUAUGUACCUAUGUGCCCUAUAUCAUCCUCCCGCUGACCAGGCCCAUUCCUCCUCCUUAGGGGAUCCAUCCUGCCGGCUGUUGGCUGUUCUGCUUACAUAAUAUGAAACUCCUUCCUUCUCCCUCUCUACCUCUCUCACCCAGUCCUGAUUGGCUUGGAAGUGAGUGGCUGACUCAGAAGUAAGCUGGGCUGAGCAAUCAGAUUUUCUGUCUUGUGAACCUGAUGUGGAAAUUGUUUGUUGUCACAGAGUACUUUUAACUGGAAGGUUGGAUGGAUUGCAAAUGUGGAGUGGCUAUUUUUGUGCCAAGGGCUUAACAAAGCAAAGAAAGCUGGUUGGCAGAAGCAGAAUUGGCAAGAAACAGACGUGGAGAAAAGUGUCCCAGGAAGACAGAUCCUUUACUGCCUGGUUCAGGUCUUCCAUGAGACCUGGCUCCAACUUCCUGCCUUCAAGGUCAAAUCUUCCUCUUUCCUUUGUAGCUCUGAAGGGCUUCUGUUUCCUGUGACCAGAGAAACUUGGCUGAGACAAAAAGGGGCGGUUUUCACCUCAAUUUACAGAUGAUACAACUGAAGAUGAGAAAGGUUAACCGAAGCUGAUUUGUAGCAAGCUGGGAGUCAGCCUAGAUUUCCUAACUUUAUAACCUUUAUUUUUCACAUUUCUCUUGCUGGUUAAGUGAUGAAGAGAGACAGAGUCAUCUACUUUACUCCUAAAACAUCCUGAGAGCAUUGCCCAUCAUCUCUCAGAGAAAAGAGAGUCAGCGUUCAGCCGCUUUGUAAUAUCCUUGACAAAAAUUGAAUGGAUUGCAAACUGCCAGACUGAAAACUCCAUAGUAAACUGGGUUCAAUCACUUUAAGUCUGUUUACUUAAAUACUGAUACACAAGUGUAGCUUCUUUAAAUUCUUGAAGAAUAGCAGCUUUGGCAGUGGUACUACAGUUAUUAAUUAUCUUUAAAUAAAUAUCUGUUGCUGUGUAUGCUGGGGCACUCCUGUAUAGAGUUGCCCAUGCAAGAAGCAACCCACUCCAGGUAGCAGCUGACCCUGGGAGUGUCUGCAGCUGUGAAUUUUAAUCUGAAACUCACGAGAAACCAGAACUUAUUUUCUCCAGUCAUGGAAUUUUAAUACUUCUGACCUGUCUCUUCUGGCGAAGAAAUAUCCCAUCUCACCUCAAUGAAGCUGCUCUGGAGAAUAGCUGCUGUUGAUUUCUGCAGUGACCACCCCGCAUUGGUCCCUCAAAUUAAUUUUAGCAUAUGACACAUAGCCUCCAAAUUUAAUGAAAAUCCACUCAGCCAUUAUCUGCGAUACGACAAACAGACUGAAACUUAAUUAUAUUGACAUGGAUUGGAGCUAAUGCUGUCAUAUUUUGCUAGAAAAGCCAUCUCUUUAGGAGCGAUUACAAUUAGAUGUUCGAUUUGGAAAGUGCAACUGUGGAGAAAUGUCUGUGCAGACAAAUGGCAUCUGUACCUUUGGGACAGCCAUCUGGCCAGGGAUUGAAUGUCGUCCUCAUUCAUCCACCUAAUCACAACCUGACUUUGGUCGAAUGGCCUUGAGAAGUGUUGGAUUGUAUGUUAGAACAAGAAAAGACUUCCAAUAAUAUUUAGCGUUAUUCUUGUAGGACCUCUAGCCCUUUUGGUCUUUGAAAGUGAUAAAGAAAACUUUGGUUUCAUGGUACCACCUCCUUUAAUAAGUGGAUUUGUACAACCUUCCUCUGUGUGCAUGCCCAAGUAAAGAAUAUUAAAGGUCUGAUGGUGGAGUUCCCAUUGUGGCGCAGUGGUUAACGAAUCUGACUAAGAACCAUGAGGUUGCGGGUUUGAUCCCUGGCCUUGUUUGGUGGGUUAAGGAUCCCGCAUGGCUGUGAGCUGUAGUGUAGGUCCCAGAUGUUGCUUGGAUCCAGCAUUGCUGUGGUUGUGACAUAGGCCAGCGGCUACAGCUCUGACUCAACCCCUAGCCUGAGAGCCUCCAUAUGCCACGAGUGGGACCCUAGAAAGACAAAAAGACAAAAAAAAAAAAAAAA
Molecule: long non-coding RNA, 7268 nt
Filed under: Sus scrofa (pig)
Lineage: Eukaryota; Metazoa; Chordata; Mammalia; Artiodactyla; Suidae
Description: lncRNA (ENSSSCG00025024134.1)
Source: RNAcentral